RNAcentral lists this ribosomal RNA (388 nucleotides) under uncultured bacterium. RNAcentral's name for it is "bacterial SSU rRNA". It matches the Rfam family "Bacterial small subunit ribosomal RNA", at positions 28 to 417 of the family's 1533-position model. The record is from RNAcentral.
GACGAACGCUGGCGGCGUGCUUAACACAUGCAAGUCGAGCGGUAAGGCCCUUUCGGGGGUACACGAGCGGCGAACGGGUGAGUAACACGUGGGUGACCUGCCCUCAGCUCUGGGAUAAGCCUGGGAAACUGGGUCUAAUACUGGAUAUGACUCCACGGUGCAUGUCGUGGGGUGGAAAGCCUUGUGCGGCUGAGGAUGGGCCCGCGGCCUAUCAGCUUGUUGGUGGGGUGANGGCCUACCAAGGCGACGACGGGUAGCCGGCCUGAGAGGGCGACCGGCCACACUGGGACUGAGACACGGCCCAGACUCCUACGGGAGGCAGCAGUGGGGAGUCUUGCGCAAUGGGCGAAAGCCUGACGCAGCGACGCCGCGUGAGGGAUGACGGCCU